CGCGUGCUUACACAUGCAGUCGAACGAUGAAGCCCAGCUUGCUGGGUGGAUUAGUGGCGAACGGGUGAGUAACACGUGAGUAACCUGCCCCCGACUCUGGGAUAAGCCCGGGAAACUGGGUCUAAUACCGGAUAUGACCAUGGAACGCAUGUUUUGUGGUGGAAAGAUUUAUCGGUGGGGGAUGGACUCGCGGCCUAUCAGCUUGUUGGUGAGGUAAUGGCUCACCAAGGCGACAACGGGUAGCCGGCCUGAGAGGGUGACCGGCCACACUGGGACUGAGACACGGCCCAGACUCCUACGGGAGGCAGCAGUGGGGAAUAUUGCACAAUGGGCGCAAGCCUGAUGCAGCGACGCCGCGUGAGGGAUGACGGCCUUCGGGUUGUAAACCUCUUUCAGUAGGGAAGAAGCGAAAGUGACGGUACCUGCAGAAGAAGCGCCGGCUAACUACGUGCCAGCAGCCGCGGUAAUACGUAGGGCGCAAGCGUUAUCCGGAUUUAUUGGGCGUAAAGAGCUCGUAGGCGGUUUGUCGCGUCUGCCGUGAAAGUCCGAGGCUCAACCUCGGAUCUGCGGUGGGUACGGGCAGACUAGAGUGAUGUAGGGGAGACUGGAAUUCCUGGUGUAGCGGUGAAAUGCGCAGAUAUCACGAGGAACACCGAUGGCGAAAGCAGGUCUCUGGGCAUUUACUGACGCUGAGGAGCGAAAGCAUGGGGAGCGAACAGGAUUAGAUACCCUGGUAGUCCAUGCCGUAAACGUUGGGCACUAGGUGUGGGGGACAUUCCACGUUUUCCGCGCCGUAGCUAACGCAUUAAGUGCCCCGCCUGGGGAGUACGGCCGCAAAGGCUAAAACUCAAGGAAUUGACUGGGGGCCCGCCACAAGCGGCGGGAGCAUGCGGAUUUAUUCGAUGCACGCGAAGAACUUACCAAGCUGACAUGUGCCAGACCGCUCCAAGAUGGGGUUCCCCU
The sequence is a ribosomal RNA, 963 nucleotides long. It matches the Rfam family "Bacterial small subunit ribosomal RNA", at positions 43 to 1018 of the family's 1533-position model.